RNAcentral lists this ribosomal RNA (960 nucleotides) under fungal sp. Its description in RNAcentral is "eukaryotic LSU rRNA". The stretch from base 441 to 960 matches the Rfam family "Eukaryotic large subunit ribosomal RNA", at positions 1 to 530 of the family's 3401-position model. The record is from RNAcentral. Lineage: Eukaryota; Fungi.
GCGCCCGCCGGAGGACCAACCUAAAACUCUUAUUGUAUACCCCCUCGCGGGUUUUUUUAUAAUCUGAGCCUUCUCGGCGCCUCUCGUAGGCGUUUCGAAAAUGAAUCAAAACUUUCAACAACGGAUCUCUUGGUUCUGGCAUCGAUGAAGAACGCAGCGAAAUGCGAUAAGUAAUGUGAAUUGCAGAAUUCAGUGAAUCAUCGAAUCUUUGAACGCACAUUGCGCCCGCCAGUAUUCUGGCGGGCAUGCCUGUCCGAGCGUCAUUUCAACCCUCGAACCCCUCCGGGGGGUCGGCGUUGGGGAUCGGCCCUCCCUUAGCGGGUGGCCGUCUCCGAAAUACAGUGGCGGUCUCGCCGCAGCCUCUCCUGCGCAGUAGUUUGCACACUCGCAUCGGGAGCGCGGCGCGUCCACAGCCGUUAAACACCCAACUUCUGAAAUGUUGACCUCGGAUCAGGUAGGAAUACCCGCUGAACUUAAGCAUAUCAAUAAGCGGAGGAAAAGAAACCAACAGGGAUUGCCCCAGUAACGGCGAGUGAAGCGGCAACAGCUCAAAUUUGAAAUCUGGCCCCUAGGGUCCGAGUUGUAAUUUGUAGAGGAUGCUUUUGGUGAGGUGCCGCCCGAGUUCCCUGGAACGGGACGCCACAGAGGGUGAGAGCCCCGUCUGGCUGGCCGCCGAGCCUCUGUAAAGCUCCUUCGACGAGUCGAGUAGUUUGGGAAUGCUGCUCAAAAUGGGAGGUAUAUGUCUUCUAAAGCUAAAUAUUGGCCAGAGACCGAUAGCGCACAAGUAGAGUGAUCGAAAGAUGAAAAGCACCUUGAAAAGAGGGUUAAAUAGUACGUGAAAUUGUUGAAAGGGAAGCGCUUGUGACCAGACUUGGGCGCGGCGGAUCAUCCGGGGUUCUCUCCGGUGCACUUCGCCGCGUCUAGGCCAGCAUCAGUUCGUCGCGGGGGAAAAAGGCUUCG